Molecule: ribosomal RNA, 430 nt
Filed under: uncultured bacterium
Lineage: Bacteria
Description: bacterial SSU rRNA
Rfam family: Bacterial small subunit ribosomal RNA
Source: RNAcentral
GUGGGGAAUAUUGGACAAUGGGCGAAAGCCUGAUCCAGCCAUGCCGCGUGUGUGAAGAAGGUCUUCGGAUUGUAAAGCACUUUAAGUUGGGAGGAAGGGCAGUUACCUAAUACGUGAUUGUUUUGACGUUACCGACAGAAUAAGCACCGGCUAACUCUGUGCCAGCAGCCGCGGUAAUACAGAGGGUGCAAGCGUUAAUCGGAAUUACUGGGCGUAAAGCGCGCGUAGGUGGUUUGUUAAGUUGGAUGUGAAAUCCCCGGGCUCAACCUGGGAACUGCAUUCAAAACUGACUGACUAGAGUGUGGUAGAGGGUGGUGGAAUUUCCUGUGUAGCGGUGAAAUGCGUAGAUAUAGGAAGGAACACCAGUGGCGAAGGCGACCACCUGGACCAACACUGACACUGAGGUGCGAAAGCGUGGGGAGCAAACAGG